UACAGAGGGGGCAAGCGUUAUUCGGAAUUAUUGGGCGUAAAGGGCGCGUAGGCGGUUUGGCAAGUGGAAGGUGAAAUCCCUUGGCUUAACCGAGGAACUGCCCUCCAAACUGCUUCGCUUGAGACCGGGAGAGGUGAGUGGAAUUCCCAGUGUAGCGGUGAAAUGCGUAGAUAUUGGGAGGAACACCAGUGGCGAAGGCGAGUCUCUGGGAUGAUACUGACGCUGAUGCUCGAAAGCUAGGGGAGCAAACGGG
Molecule: ribosomal RNA, 253 nt
Filed under: uncultured bacterium
Lineage: Bacteria
Description: partial 16S ribosomal RNA
Rfam family: Bacterial small subunit ribosomal RNA
Source: RNAcentral